GUUUCAUUGUGUUAGCCAGGAUAGUCUUGAUCUCCUGGCCUCGUGAUCCACCCACCUCGGCCUCCCAAAGUGCUGGGAUUACGGGCACGAGACACUAGGCCUGGCAAGAAUUCACUUUCUUAGAAGGGGAGCAGUUAUUGCAUACCACUGCUUUGCAACAAUUCCUCGCUCCAGGCCUCCAUGGCCCCCCCGACUUGCCCCAUCCCUUGAAAUGCAAUCAGCCACCUUGACUCAGUAGAAUGGGGCAAAGCCCUUUUUUUUGCCAGACAGACGAUUUGAAUAUGCUGUUGCCAGAGUUCCCAUAUUCACUCUUCCCCUUCUCUCUCGUAAUCAGGGAUUAUCAGAGUUUUGCCACACAGAGGUCAUCUCUGUUGCCUAGAAGUCACUAACUAAACAUAGAGAUUAAUCUCUUGGUUGGUUUUGGGUGACAUACCAGUAAGCUUUCCAGAUAAGUAUAGAAUAUACCGUUAUAUUUGAAUUUCAGAUAAAAAAUGAAUUGUUCGCAUAUAUUUACUAAAUAUUGUAUAGGACAUAUAAAAAUUAUUCAUCGUCUAUCUGAGAUUCAACUUUAACUGGGCGUCCUGUAUUUUUAUUUGCUAAAUCUGCCAGCCCUACCCAUCAGGUGACUCAAAGGCCUAAGAGUUCAGCCAACAAAGCUACUGAGAUCCUAGGAGAAAUCAAAUCAAGACAAUAUGUCUACACUGAACCAAAGUAUUUGCAGAGUGCUGUGUUCACAGCUGUGGGAGAUGCAAAACAGUGUCAGACUUGGUGAGAAAACAGUAGAGGAGAGGAAUGGCCACAGGCCAGAGAGAGACCGUGGUGCUAGCACAAAAGCCUGGCUCAAGGACUACAGAAAAGCAAAAUGGCAUUUAAAAAAAGAUUGUUUCCAGUAGUUUUAUCUCCAACCUUUUAUGAUGGCUUCUUGUAAUGGGAGCUUCCGCGUCACGGGAGAAGGCUGGAGAGGCUGGAAAACAAAGCUUUCUGACAAGGCAGGAGGCUUGUGGGCAUAGCAUGUACCCUAGUCCUUUAUUGCUGGGAUAAAGCAAACAGCAUCUUGAUUGACAACUGAGGGACGGUAUGGCAGUAACAAUCAAUAGGCAUUUGUGGGUUGGAUGACUGACAAAUUUUUGAGCAGGAAGAGCAUGAGGAAGGAUAUUUUAGUAAGACUAUCUUGGAUGUGUUGUGGGAGAAACAUGAAGGAUACAAAUCCCUUUUACUAACUGGGGAAAAAUCAGCCAUCUACCCUGACGGCUGUCCUGCACUGAACAUCACCUAACACUGUCAUUCUUCCUCCUCCAAUCACAUCAACAACUUGCUGUCCAGUUGUUCAGGGACUUCAAACAACCAUGGCUAUUAUAGCAAGUAUUGUGGUGCCAUUUCUUCCGAAAACUGGGAGGAUAAUUAUACACUCUGUGGGUGAGGGUGUAGAACAAACAAGAGGACAGAUUAAUGGCAGAGAGAGGACAGCGUUGAGAAAAGUGAAUUAGAAAGCAGAUUGGCUGGGAAAGUAGGGAGUCAUUAAAACUUCUUUCUGAUCAAUUAAUCUUUGGGUGGUUGGGGUUAAGGAACAACCUGGAAUUCAGCCUCCACUGUGUGCCUUGAACUUCCAUUCCUGUUAUCUGUAAGGAAAACUUUAUCCUUGUUUUAAUGACUUUUCAAGCAGUUAGGAAACUUUGUCAAGAGUGUUGAGUGGCAAGGGCAGAGCCAGGAUUGGAGGACAGGUCUUUCUUGCUCCAAGACGAGUUCUGGUUCCAUGUCUGAAGGCUGCCCAGGCUCCCUGUGAAAAGGGGCUCUGCAAACUGCUCCUUCAGUCUCACAGAAGUGCAUGCUAAUGAGACUAACACAGACAUCUACCCAUCCAUUGCUGUCAGUUGUGUGUGCUGAAUUCUAUUUUGCUAUUUGAAAUAAAAAGAAACUUACAGUCUGGAUUGGGGAUAAAGGAAAAUGAAGAUUUAGUCUACCUCGGUGAUAGAGUGUAAUUGCAAAGGGAUAAAUAUAUGGACUCACAUCAGUUUUUCACUUCCUACAAUGGCCAACCCUUCUGGAAAAAAACAGUAUUUCAGGUAGUAGCAAUGAGAUUAUCUGGCGAUUUGGUAAAAGAGUUAAGCGUAACAUUUUAUGGAAAGAACUAUAAUCAGAUGAUAACCACAGGAAGAAGCAGCAACAGAGCAAAGAAAAUAACAUAUUAUCUUUUUAAAGACACCUAGAUUUGUUUCUGAGGAGGAUGAGGAGGCUUUCGAGAUACUGAGAAGGGAAAAAGAUAUUAGAGCUGAGAAUGAUCUUUGUGAUACUAAAAGCUACUUGAGGUUUGCGGUGGGGAAUGAAUGAGCUGACACCCGAGUAAUAAACCUUAGGCUCUCACACGUCUCCACAGAGCCUGUUUGGAAACCAGGAAAGAGUAAGUGACUCAAGUAUUCUAAAUUUUAGUAAAAGAAGAAGGUAAUCAUCUCACCACCUCCCUUCCCCUCCCUCUUCCUUUGUGCUUGGUUUUCCUCAGGUUCUUCUCAUAUUAAAUAAUUAAUAUUUAAUAAAAGGGUCACUCUACAACUAUGCUUUUGCCCUUGUGCCAAUCUUGAAGCAGGGCUCUAUACUUCUGUGUUUUUCUCUCAAAGGAAGUUCACUCUCGAAAAGUGAGAAUGCAAACUUUACUGAACAUUUUAUAAGGAAGACCGAAGAGGGGAUUUACACCUCGUGAUGCUCAGAGUUUAAUUUCCCAAAUCACCGUGAGAAGUCCCUCCCCAGUUCUAUUCUCAGCUGUUGUUCUUUGGGUCUUUAAAAUCUUCCACCAAGUAGCUUCUCAAAUUCUCUGUUUUAGAGAAAUCUUCCCUUCAGCCAUGGUUCUUUUGCAGAAAAAUUUCACUUCUCACCUCUCUCAGUCGUUGGCACCAGCCCACCCACAGACCUCGAAGCCCAGCAUUCACUAUGGUUUAGCAGAGGAUUCCCCCUAAAAACUCACACUUUCUUUUGCAAGGCAUUCAUGAAACAACUGCUAAGAAAAAUGAGAUGUUUUUGUAUUACCACAAGAACAUAAUUCAUUGGGGAAUGAUACCUUGCAAAGUUUACCAUAUGCUUUGGGUUUCUUAAUUUUUAGAAUAUUUGCUAUCUUCUUAUCCAAGCUUGGAGGUUGGGUUUGGUGGCAGUGGAGAUAAUUGAAUUCUUGUCUAACCACAUUUUCAGAAUGACAUCAAUUAUUCUCCCAUUUUUAAGUGAAUGUUUCCAAAGCAUUCUGAAUGGCUAUUUACCCAGUAGCUGAGAGAGAAACUGGGAUUUUGUUUUUUUAACUUCUCCAUCUGUGAGGAGUGGCCAGCCAUCUUUAUUCCUUCUCUUUAUGUAGGGGCUACCCUCUUGGGGGUUUCACAGUAUUUCUUGUAAAGACCAUGAACUUGGGCUGUCACUGUGUGAUAACAAUUCCUUUAUGCCCACGACUGAAUCUCAGAUUCUGGCUGGGCGCUGUGGCUCAUGCCUGUAAUCCCAGCACUUCGGGAGGCUGAGGCAGGCGAAUCCCUCUAGCCCAAGAGUUCGAGACCAGUCUGGGCAACAUGACAAAACCCCAUCUCUACAAAAAUCUGCUGUUCAUGGUGGCACAAGCUUGUAGUCUUAGCUACUCGGUAGGCUGAGGUGGGAGGAUUGCUUGAGUAGGGGAGGUGGAGGUUGCAGUUAGCCAAGAUCACGCCAUUGCACUCCAGCCUGGGCACAGAGUGAGACCCCGUCUCAAAUAAAUAAAUACAUUAAAAUCCAGAUUCUAAGAUGUUAGAAUUACUACCUUAAUUUUAAGGUUUUAAUAUUAUUGAUUGCUUAUUCUCAUGGGGACACCAGAGUUUGGUGAUCCUGGUGGUCCGUAUCCCUGGGGGAAUUCAAGAUGUUUGCUCAAAAGUUGGCUUAUCAGCGUUUUGCUCCCUUUUGGCGCUUCAGCUUCCUGCAGCUUCGUGUAAUUUGUGCAUUAAUAGUGCUCAUUAUGAUCAUGGGGGUCUUUUGAUGUGAAAAUCAGGCUUGAUGUAGACUUGAUAUGUAUUGGGAUAUUUCAAAGAUAUUUGUUAAAUGCAUCUGGAAAAUUCAGGAUGUCUGUUGUUGAGUUUCUAGACCUGUGCAGGGAACACCUUUCCAGAGGUCAUUGUGUUUUGUAUUUUGCUGCUCAUUAUUUUUCUUCCCUGAAGAACUGUUUUGUUUUGUUUUGUCACUUUCCAAAUCUGAGUGAGUUCUUUUCUCCUUCCAACUCCCCUGCCUGUGAUAUUCUUUUAUCAUGUCAUCAUUAUUUUAUCAGUAAUUCUGCUCACGCCCAAGAAUUUUGCCUCUUCUUCCUCAGCUUACUGAUUUCUAUGGCAUGUCUUUUUUUCUCAGUAUUUCUUCCUAGGUCGGACAUUUCCCCCAGUCAUCCUUUCUCUCGCUUGAUGCAUGUCACAUCCUAGGAAGCAUCAGCUACUACAUCUGCCCCCUCCUUUUCUCUUCCGUCCCCACCGGGCUUUCCUGGAGCUGCUCCUGCCACAUUUACUCCAUGUCUUGGGCUCACAGUGCUUCACUUCUAUCCUUGUCAUUCAGGGGUAACAGUUCAAUGAUCUUUCCCCUUCUCUGUCCACUGAGUUCAUUUACAAUUUACAAUCCAAACAGUUUCUGGUUGUCAGCUUGCCUGACUGUAACCUUUAAUAUUUACCCUGCUGUCCCCUCCUCCAAACUUUCCUGUCAUCUUUCAUUUCUGGAGUUGUCAAUAUCUAUCCCAAGUUGUUUAUUUUUCUUUCUUUCUUUCUGUUACUUCCUCCCUCAUCCUUUUUUGCUUGCUUUCUCUUGACUUUUUAAUUUUGAAUAAAUGAUAGAUUUGCAAAAAGUUGCAAUGAUAGCAAAAAUAGUGUGGAGUGGUCCUGUGUGCCCUUCACCCAGUUUCCCCCAAUGAUCACAUCUUACAUAAUUGUUGUCCUGUAUCUGAGCCAGGAAAUUGACAUUGGUACAAUGCAUGUGCAUAGUUCUAUGCCAUUUUAUUGCAUGUGUAGAUGCAACAAGAUACAGAACUAUUUAAUCACCACAAAGAUCUCCCUCAUUGUAACCCCUUUAUAAUCAUAUUCUACUCACCAUUCCUAGCCCCAUGGCAACCAUUAAUCUGUUCUGCAGUCUAUAAUUUGUCAUUUGGAGAAUGCUAUCUAAUUGGUAUUGCAUAGUAUAUGAUACAUUGAGACUGGCUUUAUAAAAUUCAGCAUAAUGCCCUUGAAUUCUACCCAAGUUAUUUUGUGUAUCAAUAGUUCACUCCUUUUUAUUGCUGAGUAGUAUUUCAUAGUAUGGAUGAGCCACCAUUUACCUAUUGAAGGACAUUUUGGUUGUUUCCAGGUUUCGGCACACACAUAAUCUUUUUCCUUUUUAAAGAUCUUUUUCCUCUAGGUUGCUGCUUUCUAAAAGGAACUUUCAGGAAAAGAAAAACUUUUGGGGGAGGAGGAUUUACCCAUUGGUUCUUUUGCCUAAUUAAGGGUUAGGUUCAACCCACAGUGAUUGGCAAUGUAAAUAAACUAUUAAUAUUUUCUUUUCAGAAACAGCCUUGCUUUUGACAUCCUGUUCCAAUUCUUGGUUGUCAGUAAAUGCCCUCCCUGCUUGUCUUGUUUGUCAGUGAAUACGUUAAAUUUGACCUCUGUGGAGGUGUUCCAAUAUAAAUUUUGAUCACGAACAAAAAUCAGGUUUAGUUAUUUUAAGUUAGGAUGUUAAUUUAAAGUGACUACAUUGUUACAAGAGCUUUGGUGCCUGUUCAGGAGAUCCUUAAAGUUAUUUCUGGCAAAAUGUAUUGAAACUAGGGGACUUUAGAACUCAGACCUCAAGGGAAACAGGACAAGCUGAGUUUUAGCUGUUUGACUGGAAGGCUGGGUCAGCAAGCAGCCUCUGCUUAAAAAAAAAAAAACACAUGCUCAUUUUCCAAAUGAGUUUAGGCUCAAUAUUUUGUUAACCCUGCAUAUGUUUGAGAGGGAACUCCUGAGCGCUGGCUGGCUGAGCUGGUUUUAUCUUGGUUCUAGUAAAUUAGUAGAUUGGCCUGACAUUUUUGGCAUGCAGUAAUGAAGGUUGUCAUAGGUUUCCUUUCUGUGAGCAACUUGGCUUCCUAUUAUGUUUGAAGAUUUCACAUAUUUGCAUAAACUGAAGUUGAGGUGAUUAUAUGGGAGAGAAAUAAAAGUGCAAAUAUUUAAAUAUUACAGGAUAUUUUAGAGUCUUUUAGGGUAAAAAGGGGAUUUAAUAUAUGUGAAAUGGAAGUUUGCACUGGCACAUUAAGACUUUCUCUCUCUCUCUCUCUCGCCCAGACUGGAAUACAGUGGCAUGAUCAUGGCUCACUGCAGCCUCAACUUCCCUGGCUCAAGGGAUCCUUCUGCCUCAGCCUCCUCCGUACUGGGACUACAGGCAUGCACCACUGCGUAUGGUUAAAUUUUUUUUUUUUUUUUUUUUUUUUUUUUUUUGAGAUAGAGUCUCUCUCUGUUGCCCAGGCUGGAGUGCAGUGGCACGAUCUUGGCUCACUGCAACCUCCACCUCCUGGGUUCAAGCAAUUCUCCUGCCUCAGUCUCCCGAGUAGCUGUGUUUACAGGCACAUGCCACCACGCCCGGCUAAUUUUUGCAUUUUUAGUAGAGAUGGGGUUUCGCCAUGUUGGCCAAGCUGGUCGCAAACUCCUGGGCUCAAGCAAUCCUCCCUCCUUGGCCUCCCAAAGUGCUGGGUUUACAGGUGUGAGGCACUGCCCCUGGCCGCCUUCUUUUUUUUAAAGUCCUCAAGAAAUUAGAAAUUUUGAUAAUGAAAACAAUAAUCAGAAUCUUUUCUAUUUUAUGAAAUUUCUAGGUCUUUGCUUUGCUGGUAACAUUCAAUUAACAUCUUUGUGAAAGUAAGAUUGCCCCUCCAAUGCCCCCAGCCUCCUAUUCCCCACUUCCGAUUUCCACUGCUCCUUAAUGUGUGGGAGAUGAUAAUGCCUUGUAUACAUAUAACUUAUGCCUGGAGGAACAGAAAACAGUUUGAACACUUUGUCUAAUGAGUCCCUAGUUUUCCUCAAGGUAGGCGGAGGAAGGUGAGCUGCACAUGGGCCCAGUGGAUCUCUGCGUGACAAGCACUGAGUCACCAAGUGAGUCACUGGUGAGGCGGGAGGGAGUGGUCCACCCAGGCUAGCAUUCUCAGGCUAGCGCUCUCAGAAUGUUUUCACAAUAUCCCAAGGUCUCCACAAGUGUUUCAUGAGGUUACUGUAAGAUUCAUGUAUCUCACAAUCAAAUCAGAAUGAAUUCGAAACAACAAAGCAAAAAGACAAAACCACAACCAUUUGGGGAGGAUUUCUUAGGACACCUUAGAGAACAGAUCAUUCUAGGGCAGUGUUGUAGCUCAGGAAACUUUGAGACACAACUCUUUUUAUCCACCUUCCUUCUUUCUCUUUCCUUCCCCCUUCUCUCCUUUCUUUCUCAAUUUCUGAUGGGCCCAAUCCUGGAACGAGGCCAUUUAGGGAGACGAAGUGGGGAAGUACAGCAGCUCUGUUUUCAAGAGAAGUUACUGGUCAACAUUCUUGGCCUUCUUUAGCAAUACCAUGAGCCCACUCUCAUCUCACUCUCCUCUCACUAUUACUAUCAUCUAAUAAUCAGAAUUCUUUAUUAAUCAGUCUAUUUUGAACAUCUGCUAUGUGACAACUGAUUACUGCCAAUGAUGACUCAGGAGUGAAACAUUUUCAACUGGCUCUGGAUGAUUGAAAUCCAGAUUUUACUGGGUGUUGGUGUUCAUGCUAAUCCUGGGAAAAGUGAGAACCCCCAUGACGUGACUAGCCAUGGUAGCAGUCUAAUAAACAACGUCUCUCAUUUGCUGGUGUUUGUGGAUCAUGGAGUUCCCAGUUCCAGUACUUCCUAGGCAGUGAGACUUCUAACCAUUGAGCCAUCUGGAGGCCUGCUGGGACCUGGCCAUUAGUGUACAAAACAUUGAAGCAAUGGUGAAGAUGUGGGAGAGCAAGUGAUCAAAGCUGAGAAGCAAGACAAAGUGACAGGAACUAACAUCUAUUGAGCAUCUAGUGAGUGCUAAGUAUUGGGCUACGGGCUUUAGUGCAUGUGGUCUCAUUUGUCACUGAGAAAUGACAACUGACCAGUGACAGAAUCCUCACCAGAAAAGGUCUCAGGUAAUGUGGUUUCAGAAGAAACCAGUAUGGGUUAGGGUGCUUACACUGGCAAUUCAUAGAAAAUGUAAAAACUUUCCUAAGUGAUAAGGACACUUGUUGGCUCAGGAGAGGAGAGGCCAGUGGCUUAUUGAUGCUUGUAAGCCCCCAGGUUACCUCUAUCUCUGCCUAUGAGGGUUCACUCGCUCCUGGGGCUUGCUGUCUUUGUGAGCAUAGAAUGGUUGCCAACACAUUAAUGCUAGUGCUCCCUUAUCUGUGUCCAGAGAGUGCGAGUGAGUGAGAGAGAGCGGGUUUCUAGUACUUCUUCCGGAAAAGCAAUGUACCUCCUUCCUAGAAGCCUCUUAGCCAUCCCAUCUUGUUGCCUAGAACUGGGUGACACGGCCAAUCUUCAACUCUAAUAAGGAGGAUGGAAUUACCUUUACAGGUUUAGACUACCAAGGGGGUACUCUGGGAGUUAAGAGUGGGGUCAGUGGGCAACUUGGAAGCAAGGUGUAUUCAAAUGGAAAUCUUGCUUUUGGUAAGAAGGAGCAAGCCCUGAGCUAUACAGAAGUGAAAUCAGGUUCUAUGCAAUGAUAUUUAGAAAGAAAUUCAUCAAAAAGAUGUAAACAAUUUCUGCUUUUACAGGGGAAAACAACAAUUACCUGGGUUGUUCACUCAAAUUUCACUCCUAAGCUCCAGAUAUAUUUGGUAACCUUAUGCAUUUUAAAUACAACAAAUCCAAGAUGGCAGCCGUCACUGCUUUGUUCUACCUCAUCAAAUGUGCUCUUCCUACUGGGUUCUCCGGUUUGUUCAAUGACACCACCCAAGCAUAGACACCCAAGCAACAAAUUAAAACCCUUUCUGCCAAACUCUUAUACCUGGAUAUGCCAGGGUGUCUCUGAAGUUAUUUGUCAUAAAGGGACAAAGCCUAGUUGGCAAAGCCAAUGUUGAUAUCAACAUAUUUGGAAUCACCUUCAAGCAUGUUUCAACGUGUCUAUGACUACCUGUCUUUUAUGUAGAUUUUAUUUUAUUUGGGCCAACUGCAGCAUCUAGAACACAUGACCUCAAGUAAGCAAGUUUAGUCCUUGCAUUUUUCUUCUGGGGCUAACCUGUGCCUGUGAGAGAGACAGCUAAAGUUAAAGGCACAUGCCUGGCUGCAUGCUGAAAGGAGCAAGAGUUUCACCUGGUGGUAGCAAGAUCGCUCUGGGGGCAGGUGGUGGUGAGUGUUGGCCGAACUUCAGAAAUUUUCUGUAGUUGUAACUGAUUUUGCCUGGUUGUGCUGUGAGUGCCACACAGUGUUGUGCACAUCUCUGGAUGUAAAUGUGGAAUUUUAAAACUUUGCUAUCUGGCUUUAGUCAACCUAAAACAUGGACUUUUUUAGCCAGGCGCUACCCCGGCUCACCAGACAGGUUUGCCACAGGGAAAAAAAAAAUGAAGUGUAAGUUUGGCUUCAAUUUACUUACAGACCAUAACAUAGACCCUCAGAAUAUGCUUUUGGUUUUUCUUGGUUGCUGUUUAUUGCUGUAUUAAUUCCCUAGGGCUGCCAUAACAAAUUACUAAAAACUGAUGGCUUAAACAACAGAAAUUUAUUGUGCCACAGUUCUGGAGGCUGGAAGUCUGAAAUCACGCUCCCUCCAAAGGUUCUGAGGGAGGAUCCUUUCAUCAUUUUCCAGCUUCUGGUGGCUCCCGUGUUCCUGAGACUAUUCUGUUUUCAGCCUCCAUCUUCACAUAACCUUCUCUGUUUCUCCUUCUUCUGUCUCUCAUAAAGACACUUAUGGACACUGGAUUUAGGGCCCACCUCAAUAAUCCAGGGUAAUCUCAUCUCAUCUCUUAAUUACGUCUGUAAAGACCAUUUACCCAAAUAAGGUCACAUAUACAGAUUCCAGGAUGUGGACCUAUAUUUUUGGGGCCAUGAUGAAACUCACUAGAGUUGCCAUGCUUCUCCUGAGAUCAUGAAUAUUGAGACAUUCAGCACGGUUCGUGGCUUCCAAAUCCAAGGAUCGGUGCCACCGCUCAGAAGAGCUGCUUCAAGGAAGGUGAGUCUCAAACAUCCAAAAUGGCAGGCUGUAUCCCUCAUAAUCGUCUUGUUUCCUUGUUGUUUUAGUUAUCACCUGGAGAGCUGUACAUGCACAAGAAAUAACUUUUGGGAGAUCCCAGUGAGUAGCCACCAAGUUCCUUAGAUUGUAUCUUCUAAAUCUCUGAGUCCAUCAUACCCUUCAUUGCCACCACCACUGCUUUAUUGAAUCCCCAUCAUUUCUUCCCUGGAUUAUGCCUUUACAUUUCCCCUGCCUUCUCUUCAGCUCCCUUUCUCCACAUUGCUUUCUGGCAGAUGUUGUAAUCUGGUGUUACCUGCCUAGUGCUUGGUAGCUUUCCCUUGUGCCUCCAGGCCCAUCCUUCUCCACUCUGUCUUCUUCUUCCAAAGCUCUAUUGCCCUGUGGCUUCUGGCUGGGUUUGGUCAAUGGGGAGCAUUGGUGAGAUGGGAAAGAUGGAGUGGUGAGGGGGCAUUUACCUCCCUAACGUUUUCCCUGGGGGUCACUGCUGGCUGGCUGCAUCUCUCAACUGAUGCUGACAGCUUCCAUCAGAUGCCUUCUUCACAUGUCUUUCUCCUCCAAGCUUUAGUACCCAUUUCUUUCUUUACCCUUCCAAACCUAAGGAUGGCAACAGUGCCCUCUGUGGUUUCCCUACCUUGCCCACACCUUUAAACAUAAUUCCUUUAUAAACUCUUCUUGGUGUGGUGGCUCACGCCUGUACAAAGUGCUAGCACUUUGGGAGGCCGAGGUGGGUGGAUUGCCUGAGCUCAGGAGUUCGAGACGGGCCUGGGGAACACGGUGAAAGCCCAUCUCUACUAAAAAUAUAAAAAAUUAGCUGGGUGUGGCAGCGUGCACCUGUAAUCCCAGCUACUCGGGAGGCUGAGGCAGGAGAAUCGCUUGAACCUGGGAGGCGGAGAUUGUAGUGAGCCGAGAUUACACCAUUGCACUCCAGCCUGGGCGACAGUCUCAAAAGAACCAAAACCAAACAAACAAAACGUGUCUUAAAUUACCGAUUUCAAUGUGCCAUAUGUUUCUUGACUGGACCAUGACUAAUACAUCCAUGCUUAAAGCAUGUCACUGGCUCCAUCUUGCCCAGAGGGCAAAUGCAUUAGCCCAUGCUGGGGAACAAGGCUCCGGCCUUGCUUCCAGACUUAGUAUUUCCUGACACACCCACGGUACUCCUGCAUGCUGAUGGACUUUUGGUUUUCUGUACUUGCUGUGGAGAUUUUAUAAGUGAUGUUUUCUUUCCUGAUUUAUCUGCCUGGGCCUUUUCCAUCCUUCAAGAUUCUGCUGGAAGAUUACCUGUUGCCUGUUGUUUUGUUGACCUCCCUAGGCAGGGCUAGCUGCUUCCUCCUCUGUGCUCCCACAUCGAUUAUAUAAGUCCAUUACAGUGCUAUUCACUGCGACAAGUGUUUGUUUGUGUGUCCGUUUUCCUUCUGGUCGCUGAACCCUUGACUGUAUACCUGACUAUAUCCCAUUUUUCUUUGUUCUCCAAGUGCCUGUUGUUUUCUCAGGUAGGAUUAAUAAAUAUUUUGUGAAUGAAUACACUUGUUUUAUGGACUACAUUAUUUCUCACCUUUUCAUAUCAACAAGAUUGCAGCAAUAAAAUGUCAUCUUCAUCUAUGCAACUGUGCAUGCUGUUUUGUGUCUUGAUGAGUAUUAUUUUAUCCUUAUGACAACUCAGAGAGAUUGAGUAGAUGGGAAGCAAAUUUUCCCGUCAUGUAGAUUGUUACUGGCAGAACUUUGCCAAGAAUCUAGACCUUUUGAUACUGAUUUGCUCUUCUUUUCAUGAGACCAUUUUGCCUCCUGAGAUGCCAGAUUUUAAAAAAACAACAGAGCCCAGGAGCAGGCUAACCUAAUGAGCACCACCCCAAGGACCACUUCAGAUGGAAGGCAACUCAGGCUGCCAUAGAGAUAACUCCAAGUAAUUAUAAACACAUGUCAGGAAGACCGAAGAGAGAGAGCUUGUUGUCAGAAGGGUUCUAACGAACAGAGCUGGUCACAUUACCGGAACCUAACUUGCUGUUGCGAGAGAAUUAUGUCUGAUGUAGGCUCCAGGGACUAUCAACAGAACAUAACACUUGGAUUAAAAUUAGGAAUGAACAUCAAAAAGAAGUAUUCCGGGACCCUGGGGAAGGGCUGGCAACCCAUGGAGGAAGGAGUGGAUUGUUUCUAUAAUUCAAGCCAUAUCCCAUGAGAAAGUAAUAUAUAGGCAGCAGCACAAAUAAAGAUAAAUUCAAGAGCAUUUGGGGCAAUUUCUGUUAUGUCAAUAGAAG
This 12372-nucleotide long non-coding RNA is filed under the name Homo sapiens (human). RNAcentral's name for it is "long non-coding RNA NONHSAT208797.1". The record is from RNAcentral. Lineage: Eukaryota; Metazoa; Chordata; Mammalia; Primates; Hominidae.